UAUCCUGGCUCAGGAUGAACGCUAGCGGCAGGCUUAACACAUGCAAGUCGAGGGGUAUAGUACUUCGGUGCUAGAGACCGGCGCACGGGUGCGUAACGCGUAUGCAAUCUGCCUUUCACAGAGGGAUAGCCCAGAGAAAUUUGGAUUAAUACCUCAUAGUAUAGUACAGCCGCAUGGUUGAACUAUUAAAGUCACAACGGUGAAAGAUGAGCAUGCGUCCCAUUAGCUUGUUGGUAAGGUAACGGCUUACCAAGGCUACGAUGGGUAGGGGUCCUGAGAGGGAGAUCCCCCACACUGGUACUGAGACACGGACCAGACUCCUACGGGAGGCAGCAGUGAGGAAUAUUGGACAAUGGGCGCAAGCCUGAUCCAGCCAUGCCGCGUGCAGGAUGACGGUCCUAUGGAUUGUAAACUGCUUUUGUACGAGAAGAAAUACUCCAACGUGUUGGGGCUUGACGGUAUCGUAAGAAUAAGGAUCGGCUAACUCCGUG
This 491-nucleotide ribosomal RNA is filed under the name uncultured Flavobacterium sp. RNAcentral describes it as "bacterial SSU rRNA". It matches the Rfam family "Bacterial small subunit ribosomal RNA", at positions 15 to 507 of the family's 1533-position model. Lineage: Bacteria; Pseudomonadati; Bacteroidota; Flavobacteriia; Flavobacteriales; Flavobacteriaceae. The record is from RNAcentral.